Molecule: ribosomal RNA, 440 nt
Filed under: uncultured bacterium
Lineage: Bacteria
Description: partial 16S ribosomal RNA
Rfam family: Bacterial small subunit ribosomal RNA
Source: RNAcentral
CCUACGGGAGGCAGCAGUGGGGGAUAUUGCACAAUGGGGGAAACCCUGAUGCAGCGACGCCGCGUGAGUGAAGACGUAUUUCGGUAUGUAAAGCUCUAUCAGCAGGGAAGAAAAUGACAGUACCUGACCCAGAAGCCCCGGCUAACUACGUGCCAGCAGCCGCGGUAAUACGUAGGGCGCCAGCGUUAUCCGGAUUUACUGGGUGUAAAGGGAGCGUAGACGGUUAUGUAAGUCUGGAGUGAAAGCUCGGGGCCCAACCCCGGGACUGCUUUGGAAACUGUGUAACUGGAGUACAGGAGGGGCAGGCGGAAUUCGUGGUGUAGCGGUGAAAUGCGUAGAUAUCAGGAGGAACACCGGCGGCGAAGGCGGCCUGCUGGACUGAAACUGACGUUGAGGCUCGAAAGCGUGGGGAGCAAACAGGAUUAGAUACCCCUGUAGUC